CCUACGGGAGGCAGCAGUAAGGAAUAUUGGUCAAUGGGCGCAAGCCUGAACCAGCCAUGCCGCGUGCAGGAUGACGGCCCUCUGGGUUGUAAACUGCUUUUAUACGGGAAGAACAGCAUCUACGUGUAGGUGUUUGACGGUACUGUAAGAAUAAGGACCGGCUAACUUCGUGCCAGCAGCCGCGGUAAUACGAAGGGUCCAAGCGUUAUCCGGAUUUAUUGGGUUUAAAGGGUGCGUAGGCGGCUUUUUAAGUCAGUGGUGAAAGCCUGAUGCUCAACAUCAGAACUGCCAUUGAUACUGAAGAGCUUGAGUACAGUUGAGGUUGGCGGAAUGUGUCAUGUAGCGGUGAAAUGCUUAGAUAUGACACAGAACACCGAUUGCGAAGGCAGCUAGCUAAGCUGUUACUGACGCUGAUGCACGAAAGCGUGGGGAGCAAACAGGAUUAGAUACCCUGGUAGUCCACGCCCUAAACGUUGAUAACUCGUUGUUAGCGAUAUACUGUUAGCGACCAAGCGAAAGCAUUAAGUUAUCCACCUGGAAGACGGUCGCAGAUUGAACUUAAGGAAUUGACGGNGUGAGAGNGCGAGGACGACGACGAGGGAGGAGG
This 607-nucleotide ribosomal RNA is filed under the name uncultured bacterium. Its description in RNAcentral is "bacterial SSU rRNA". It matches the Rfam family "Bacterial small subunit ribosomal RNA", at positions 338 to 951 of the family's 1533-position model. The record is from RNAcentral.